Felis catus (domestic cat) is the source of this 1189-nucleotide long non-coding RNA. RefSeq lists it as uncharacterized. The transcript has 3 exons. The record is from RefSeq and is a predicted model, not a curated record. Lineage: Eukaryota; Metazoa; Chordata; Mammalia; Carnivora; Felidae.
CUGAGCGGUGGGUGGGCGGGGCGGCCCCGGAGUCUGCACCACGCCCCUCCAAGCCAACUCCGGCCACGUGGUUCCGGAGAAUGGUGCCGACACCGUAUAUUAAGGUUCAAAGAGCUUGAAAACCUUUUUCGUUUAAUCACCGUGGACCGGACAGUAGAGAUGAGAACACAAAGGUCUGAGAGAGAAGUGACCUGUCCUUCAUCAUAAAACUGAAGUAUCUAUCAUUUGCUGAACGUUGCUGAAUGAUUUUCUGCCACCAAAGACUUCUUGGGACCUGAAAAUAUUUCAUAUCCUUGCUCUUGACUUUGCGGUCUUAUCUAGUAAUGGAAAGACGUCAGUAUUUAAAGUCAGAAGACCUAGAAUUGGAAACUGCUUUUACCUUACCUGUUAUGGACGCUGAUCAAAUUGAGAAUUAAGAUGAUAAUUACCUUUGUUAUUACUAUACUUUUUAUCUCCAUCAUUUUUUCACUAUUUAUUAUGAACUUUAUAUGCCUUUAUUGUCUUUAAAUUCCACAACAAACUUGUGGGGGCAGCUGCUACUAUUGUCCCCAUUUUGUAGCUAAGAAAACGUGGUAUGAGAAGCCAGACUUCUUAAAUUUGUGAACUUUGGCAGAUGACAAGCCUGGAAUUUCAACUGAAGUAGUCUGAUCCAGAGGCCACAGUUUAAUAACCAGAGGCCACAGUUUAAUAACCAAUUUCUAAACUCUUUUGAAGUGCCAGGCAUCCUGUGUGUGUCUAUGCAUACGUGUGGGUGGGUGAAUAAAUUCUCCUGUAUUUCACACAAACCUAUGAGAGACGCAUUAUCAUUGUCACUGUAAAGUUGAGGAGACUGAAACUGAGAAAAGCUUCAAAACUUGCAAAACAUCAGAAGACUAAUACAUUGUAUUAAUGGCAUCUGAACUAAGAGCUCCAUCUCUGCCAAAGCUAAGUCCUGGCUACUAUAUGAUUCUGAUGUUUCUGAACUUGAGUUUUCUCAUGUGCAAAUAAAUGUAAUUAAAACUUUCCUAACCAUGUCUAGGAGGAGCAUCAUGUGAGACUGCAGUAUGUGAAAGCCCUCUAAGAUAUGUGUCAUCAUGAUUGCCUUUGCUCAUUUUUGUGCAUCUCUUUCUUUGCCCCUCCUGUGCUUGUGCGUGUGCUCUCUCUCUCUCUUUCUCUCUCAAAAUAAAUAGAUAUAUAUUAAAAAACAAAA